RNAcentral lists this ribosomal RNA (305 nucleotides) under uncultured bacterium. RNAcentral describes it as "bacterial SSU rRNA". It matches the Rfam family "Bacterial small subunit ribosomal RNA", at positions 333 to 636 of the family's 1533-position model. The record is from RNAcentral.
UACGUCCUACGGGGCGCAGCAGUGAGGAAUAUUGGUCAAUGGCCGGCAGGCUGAACCAGCCAAGCCGCGUGAAGGACGAAGGUGCCAAGCAUUGUAAACUUCUUUUGUCAAGGGACAAAAUCAGGCUCGAGAGCCUGACCGAGGGUAAUUGAAGAAAAAGCAUCGGCUAACUCCGUGCCAGCAGCCGCGGUAAUACGGAGGAUGCGAGCGUUAUCCGGAUUUAUUGGGUUUAAAGGGGGCGUAGGCGGACUGUUAAGUCAGCGGUAAAAGCCCGGGGCUCAACCCCGGCGAGCCGGUGAAACUGG